GACCUGAUAGCACAGUCGGUAGUGCAUCUGCUCAAAAUUCACUUUCGUCGUUGCUUCAGCAGAAGACCCUCGUUCGAUCCAGGGUCAGGUCA
Mycena metata is the source of this 92-nucleotide non-coding RNA. Lineage: Eukaryota; Fungi; Basidiomycota; Agaricomycetes; Agaricales; Mycenaceae. The record is from the annotation of a GenBank genome assembly.